UACGUAGGGUGCGAGCGUUAAUCGGAAUUACUGGGCGUAAAGCGUGCGCAGGCGGUUUUGUAAGCCAGGUGUGAAAUCCCACGGCUCAACCGUGGAAGUGCACUCGAAACUGGAUGGCUAGAGUCCUGGAGAGGAAGGUGGAAUGCUUGGUGUAGAGGUGAAAUUCGUAGAUAUCAAGCGGAACACCGGUGGCGAAGGCGGCCUUCUGGACAGUGACUGACGCUGAGACGCGAAAGCGUGGGGAGCAAACAGG
Molecule: ribosomal RNA, 253 nt
Filed under: uncultured bacterium
Lineage: Bacteria
Description: partial 16S ribosomal RNA
Rfam family: Bacterial small subunit ribosomal RNA
Source: RNAcentral